AACGAACGCUGGCGGCGUGCUUAACACAUGCAAGUCGAACGCGAAAGGGACUUCGGUCCUGAGUAAAGUGGCGCACGGGUGAGUAACGCGUAGAUAACCUGUCUUCGUGUCUGGAAUAAUACACCGACAGGGGUACUAAUACCGGAUAAUCUUGCUUGUCAUAAGUUUUGCAAUAAAAGGUGGCCUCUGACUUAAGCUACUGCAUGAAGAGGGGUCUGCGUACCAUUAGCUAGUAGGUGGGGUAAAGGCCUACCUAGGCAACGAUGGUUAGCGGGUCUGAGAGGAUGAUCCGCCACACUGGCACUGGAACACGGGCCAGACUCCUACGGGAGGCAGCAGUGAGGAAUAUUGCGCAAUGGGGGCAACCCUGAAGCAGCGACGCCGCGUGAGUGAGGAAGGCCUUCGGGUCGUAAAGCUCUGUCAAAGGGAAAGAAAUGUAUAAUGGCUAAUACCUGUUAUAUUUGACGGUACCCUUAAAGGAAGCACCGGCUAACUCCGUGCCAGCCGCCGCGUAAUAC
RNAcentral lists this ribosomal RNA (518 nucleotides) under uncultured bacterium. RNAcentral describes it as "bacterial SSU rRNA". It matches the Rfam family "Bacterial small subunit ribosomal RNA", at positions 29 to 526 of the family's 1533-position model. The record is from RNAcentral.